UGGUCAAUGAUGAAAAUCUAAUGUAAUGAAGAUUGGUAAUGACAUAAAAAUCAUGCUCAAUAGGAUUACACUGAGGUCC
Grammomys surdaster is the source of this 79-nucleotide small nucleolar RNA. RefSeq annotates it as small nucleolar RNA SNORD115. Lineage: Eukaryota; Metazoa; Chordata; Mammalia; Rodentia; Muridae. The record is from RefSeq and is a predicted model, not a curated record. The transcript has a single exon.